UGAUCAAGUCAUUGGAUCUGAGGCACCUGU
This 30-nucleotide non-coding RNA is filed under the name Mus musculus (house mouse). The record is from RNAcentral. Lineage: Eukaryota; Metazoa; Chordata; Mammalia; Rodentia; Muridae.